GACAGAGGGUGCAAACGUUGUUCGGAAUUACUGGGCGUAAAGCGUGCGCAGGCGGUUUUGUAAGCCAGAUGUGAAAGCCCCGGGCUUAACCUGGGAAUGGCAUUUGGGACUGCAAGGCUUGAGUGCGGCAGAGGAGACUGGAAUUCCCGGUGUAGCAGUGAAAUGCGUAGAUAUCGGGAGGAAUACCGAUGGCGAAGGCAGGUCUCUGGGCUGACACUGACGCUCAUGCACGAAAGCGUGGGGAGCAAACAGG
This 253-nucleotide ribosomal RNA is filed under the name uncultured bacterium. Its description in RNAcentral is "partial 16S ribosomal RNA". It matches the Rfam family "Bacterial small subunit ribosomal RNA", at positions 524 to 776 of the family's 1533-position model. The record is from RNAcentral.